RNAcentral lists this transfer RNA (73 nucleotides) under Scleropages formosus (Asian bonytongue). Its description in RNAcentral is "tRNA-Thr". It matches the Rfam family "tRNA". From Rfam's summary of the family: Transfer RNA (tRNA) molecules are approximately 80 nucleotides in length. Their secondary structure includes four short double-helical elements and three loops (D, anti-codon, and T loops). Lineage: Eukaryota; Metazoa; Chordata; Actinopteri; Osteoglossiformes; Osteoglossidae. The record is from RNAcentral.
GCCCUAGUAGCUUAGCCUCUAAAGCACCGGUUUUGUAACCCGAAGAUCGAAGGUUAAACUCCUUCCUAGAGCC